RNAcentral lists this long non-coding RNA (394 nucleotides) under Androctonus crassicauda. The record is from RNAcentral. Lineage: Eukaryota; Metazoa; Arthropoda; Arachnida; Scorpiones; Buthidae.
GAUAAAUAAUAUAUUUUUUUAAAGAAAAUGUAUUUCUAUUAACUUUGAUGUAAAUAAAUUAAUUUUUGUUAUUUUAAUUAUGUCUGAUAAAACUAAAUAUAUUGUAUAUAGGCUUGCCAUCUCUCUGGGUUUGACUCGGAGACUCCGGGUUUCAGUGAGUUAUCUCUGGGCUCUGGGUUUAAUUAUUAUUUCUCUGGGUUGUGUAAGUAAAAUUGAAUAUGUACAAAAUUAUAUGCAGACUGUUGCAUGCAUGUCAUAUACCGUGUGUGGAAUAGCUAGUGCAGUAGUUGGUGGCUUAAUGACCCCCCCCUGCACUAAUGCAUACAUGGAAUGAAUUUUUUCGAUUAUGGGAAAUCCUUGGACAGACAACCGUAACAGGAUGCAGUUGAGCUGG